CACGGGAGCAAUCCUGGUGGCGAGUGGCGAACGGGUGAGUAAUGUAUCGGAACGUACCUUCAGUGGGGAUAACGUAGCGAAAGUUACGCUAAUACCGCAUAUUCUGUGAGCAGGAAAGCAGGGGGAUCGCAAGACCUUGCGCUGAUUGAGCGGCCGAUAUCAGAUUAGCUAGUUGGUGAGGUAAAGGCUCACCAAGGCGACGAUCUGUAGCGGGUCUGAGAGGAUGAUCCGCCACACUGGAACUGAGACACGGUCCAGACUCCUACGGGAGGCAGCAGUGGGGAAUUUUGGACAAUGGGCGCAAGCCUGAUCCAGCCAUGCCGCGUGAGUGAAGAAGGCCUUCGGGUUGUAAAGCUCUUUCAGCCGGGAAGAAAACGCAUGGGUUAAUACCCUGUGUGGAUGACGGUACCGGAAUAAGAAGCACCGGCUAACUACGUG
This 438-nucleotide ribosomal RNA is filed under the name uncultured bacterium. RNAcentral's name for it is "bacterial SSU rRNA". It matches the Rfam family "Bacterial small subunit ribosomal RNA", at positions 72 to 507 of the family's 1533-position model. The record is from RNAcentral.